Molecule: non-coding RNA, 157 nt
Organism: Cajanus cajan (pigeon pea)
Lineage: Eukaryota; Viridiplantae; Streptophyta; Magnoliopsida; Fabales; Fabaceae
Source: RefSeq, a predicted model, not a curated record
CCAACCAAAGAAGGGUGCUUUCGGAUUCUGAAACAGUCCGGUGGUUGAACCAUGCAGUUGAAAACAUAUGGCCCAUAUGUAUGGAAAAGAUUGCCACUCAGAAUAUUUUACUCCCUAUCAUUCCGUGGUUCUUAGAGAAAUACAAACCUUGGACUGC